Molecule: ribosomal RNA, 475 nt
Filed under: uncultured bacterium
Lineage: Bacteria
Description: bacterial SSU rRNA
Rfam family: Bacterial small subunit ribosomal RNA
Source: RNAcentral
CUGGCGGCGCACAUAAGACAUGCAAGUCGAACGGACGACUUCGAUAUGUUAUCUAUUGAAGAAGUUAGUGGCGGACUGGUGAGUAACACGUAAAUAAUCUGCCUACAAGAGGGGAACAACAGUGAGAAAUCACUGCUAAUACCGCAUAAUUCAUUCUUAUCGCAUGGUAGGAAUGGAAAAGGAGCAAUCCGCUUGUAGAUGAGUUUGCGUCUGAUUAGCUAGUUGGUGUGGUAAUGGCAUACCAAGGCGACGAUCAGUAGCUGUGCUGAGAGGCAGAACAGCCACAUUGGGACUGAGAUACGGCCCAGACUCCUACGGGAGGCAGCAGUCGGGAAUAUUGCGCAAUGGAGGAAACUCUGACGCAGUGACGCCGCGUAUAGGAAGAAGGUUUUCGGAUUGUAAACUAUUGUAGACAGGGAAGAAACAAGACAGUACCUGUAAAGUAGGCUCCGGCUAACUAUGUGCCAGCCGCCGC